This 312-nucleotide ribosomal RNA is filed under the name uncultured eukaryote. Its description in RNAcentral is "partial 18S ribosomal RNA". It matches the Rfam family "Eukaryotic small subunit ribosomal RNA", at positions 1470 to 1796 of the family's 1831-position model. The record is from RNAcentral.
CCCUUAGAUGUCCUGGGCGGCCCGCGCGCUACAAUGUCAGCUACUGAAGGUUAAUGCUUUGAAAGAGAGCGCGCUCUCCUUUUAAUUGCUCGCAUGCUGGGAUAAAUGAAUGCAAUUUUGUUUUGAACGAGGAAUUCCUAGUAGCCAUGUUUCACUAGAAGAUGGCGAAUGCGUCCCUGCCCUUUGUACACACCGCCCGUCGCUCCUACCGAUGAGCGUUUUGGCGAAGACGGUUUGAGUAGCUGCGUAAUUUCGUGUUGUUGACGCCGGCAGUUUGAGCCUUCACGUUUAGAGGAAGGAGAAGUCGUAACA